This 492-nucleotide ribosomal RNA is filed under the name uncultured bacterium. RNAcentral describes it as "partial 16S ribosomal RNA". It matches the Rfam family "Bacterial small subunit ribosomal RNA", at positions 29 to 507 of the family's 1533-position model. The record is from RNAcentral.
AGUGAACGCUGGCGGUAGGCCUAACACAUGCAAGUCGAACGGCAGCACAGUAAGAGCUUGCUCUUACGGGUGGCGAGUGGCGGACGGGUGAGGAAUACAUCGGAAUCUACUUUUUCGUGGGGGAUAACGUAGGGAAACUUACGCUAAUACCGCAUACGACCUACGGGUGAAAGCAGGGGACCUUCGGACCUUGCGCGAUUGAAUGAGCCGAUGUCGGAUUAGCUAGUUGGCGGGGUAAAGGCCCACCAAGGCGACGAUCCGUAGCUGGUCUGAGAGGAUGAUCAGCCACACUGGAACUGAGACACGGUCCAGACUCCUACGGGAGGCAGCAGUGGGGAAUAUUGGACAAUGGGCGCAAGCCUGAUCCAACCAUACCGCGUGGGUGAAGAAGGCCUUCGGGUUGUAAAGCCCUUUUGUUGGGAAAGAAAAGCAGCAGGUUAAUACCCCGCUGUUCUGACGGUACCCAAAGAAUAAGCACCGGCUAACUUCGUG